RNAcentral lists this ribosomal RNA (262 nucleotides) under uncultured bacterium. RNAcentral describes it as "partial 16S ribosomal RNA". It matches the Rfam family "Bacterial small subunit ribosomal RNA", at positions 793 to 1055 of the family's 1533-position model. The record is from RNAcentral.
GUCCACGCCGUAAACGGUGGGCACUAGGUGUGGGCCUUUAUCAACGAGGUCCGUGCCGUCGCUAACGCAUUAAGUGCCCCGCCUGGGGAGUACGGCCGCAAGGCUAAAACUCAAAGGAAUUGACGGGGGCCCGCACAAGCAGCGGAGCAUGUUGCUUAAUUCGAGGCAACGCGAAGAACCUUACCUGGGUUUGACAUGCUGGGAAAAGCCGUAGAGAUACGGUGUCCUUCGGGGCCCAGCACAGGUGGUGCAUGGCUGUCGU